RNAcentral lists this non-coding RNA (111 nucleotides) under uncultured Pseudomonas sp. RNAcentral's name for it is "Pseudomon-groES RNA". It matches the Rfam family "Pseudomon-groES RNA". Lineage: Bacteria; Pseudomonadati; Pseudomonadota; Gammaproteobacteria; Pseudomonadales; Pseudomonadaceae. The record is from RNAcentral.
GUAGCGGUCACCGUAAGGUCGCUGUCGUUUCGACAGGCAGUCUUCUGCGGCUUGCCUGGCAAGUCGCAACCGGCACCGCCGGCUUUGCUAACCCGCCGAUCAGAUGGAUCG